CCUACGGGUGGCAGCAGUCGAGAAUUUUUCACAAUGGGCGCAAGCCUGAUGGAGCGACGCCGCGUGGGGGAUGAAUGGCUUCGGCCCGUAAACCCCUGUCAUUUGCGAUCAAACCUUAUUAUUUAAAAGAUGAUAAGCUGAUAGUAGCGAAAGAGGAAGGGACGGCUAACUCUGUGCCAGCAGCCGCGGUAAUACAGAGGUCCCAAGCGUUGUUCGGAUUCACUGGGCGUAAAGGGUGCGUAGGUGGUGAGGUAAGUCGGAUGUGAAAUCUCCGAGCUCA
This 280-nucleotide ribosomal RNA is filed under the name uncultured bacterium. Its description in RNAcentral is "partial 16S ribosomal RNA". It matches the Rfam family "Bacterial small subunit ribosomal RNA", at positions 338 to 611 of the family's 1533-position model. The record is from RNAcentral.